UUUUUUCCUAUAUUCUUUACGUUGUUUAGGAAUCACGGUCCUCCCUUGGUCCCGUUCAUCAGAAGAUGCCUUCUGAGAAGGUUUAUGUUGAGGCCCAAGAACACGACCCUGGUCAUGGAUCGCCCGACACUGAGCAAGCUCGUGCCCAAUCAUCUUACAAUGAGAGCAAAAAGGAGGGAGCCAUUCAUAUUCCACACCAGCUACAAAAGCAAAGUCUGGACGUUCAACCAAAAGUUGAUCGGAGAGAGGGGACA
RNAcentral lists this long non-coding RNA (254 nucleotides) under Phaseolus vulgaris (common bean). RNAcentral's name for it is "long non-coding RNA (PVUL_LNC004715)". The record is from RNAcentral. Lineage: Eukaryota; Viridiplantae; Streptophyta; Magnoliopsida; Fabales; Fabaceae.